Molecule: long non-coding RNA, 3390 nt
Organism: Mus musculus (house mouse)
Lineage: Eukaryota; Metazoa; Chordata; Mammalia; Rodentia; Muridae
Product: predicted gene 13791
Exons: 5
Source: RefSeq, a predicted model, not a curated record
GGGGACGCAGCCAGCUGGGAGGAAGGAUGGCUGUAAGGACGUCAGAGGCGGAGGCUGACCCAGAGGCGCGUCAACCGCUACCCCCUCCUCGCCACCAUGUGACCCGCCCCCUAUUGCCAGGAGAGCAGGAGCAGAACGGAUGUUUCUGAAGCCUGCAUUGGACCCUGACUGUCACAGACAUAAACUCUCAAAGGUUCUCCGUGGAUGGACCCCAGGAGCAACUCAGAUGCAAACACUGCCACAAGCAAGCACGUGAGGACAUCUCCCAGAUGUGCCACUUACCAGCAGAGGACACUGUGGUUUGACCACUGAAAGUCGAGAGAAACAGACUCAAACCGUUGCUCCGCCUGAAAGAAUAAGGCCACAGCCAUCAAAUCCUGCCAGCGUCCCCACCAAAGCAUGUUAUGAGUCCACCUGCUCUUUCAGUGACUUCCCUCCUGGGCCAGGGCCAGCACAUCACCUGCUCGUCACCCUGCCCGCCUGCAGACAACGGAUGGUGCUGCAGAGGGACCUUACUCAGACUCAUCCUCACUCUAGGGUGGACUCGAGGACUGGGGAUGAGGGAGGGACAUUCCCUUGGUGUUCAGGAAAGAGAGUCAGAGAAGGUAAACUUAUCUUUCUAUAAAUCUUCCUUAGCCUGAUGUUGAGUCAACGUCCUGCCUUCUACACACCAUUGACCUCGACUUCCUUAUGACUACCCUUGGAAUUUCUUCCAAUUGAAAUGCAGACUUUAUUCAAGUCCCAGCCAGGGUUCCAUGUCUCCUCUAGUCUGUGACAGUUCUCAGAAUUUCCAUGAUUUCUACAGUCUUGGCUUUGAGGCUGGCCAGUGAUUUGGGGACUGUUCCUCAGCCUGAGUGGCUAUGAUCUUAUCUCUUGGUUGUUCUGGGUCUUGGACAGCCACACCCUUUUGAUGUUCCAGGAUGAAUUGUGUGACAUCAAUAUGGCCCCCUGGUUCUGUUCUGCAUUUACUGGCACAGGUAUGAAAGUCAAAGGUCAGUUCUCUCCUUUGACCAUAUGGGUCCCAGUGAUUAAACUCAGGUCAUCAGCCUUGACAGCAAGUGCCUUUACCCAAUAAGCCAUCUUGCUAGCUCGAGGAUUCUAUUUUUAUUGGUAUUUAUUUGAGGGCGGAUGGUGUGAGAGUCCUUCAGUUCUCCAGGAAUGCAGAUUUUCCUUUUGCAUAAGCUGGGGUAAAGGUGGGGGUGGGGCAGGGACUUGUUCACACUGUGCAGCCCAAGUGCAGAGAUUCGAGUCAGUAAUGGCUGGGGGAGCUUUGUUCUGUUUGCUUUGCGACAGAGUUUGCUGUGUAGCCUGAUACCUGUGAGCCUGUCCUGAGCUCAGGAGAGUGGCCCUGCUGGUUUAGCUGUGGCCACCUCCUUUUUUUGUUGUUGAGUUUUGUUUUACUUCAUUUUUUUUUUUUUUUUUUUGCUUUUCACUUCCUUCCCUCCUUCAUUUUCUCUUCUCUUCUCUUCUCUUCUCUUCUCUUCUCUUCUCUUCUCUUCUCUUCUCUUCUCUUCUCUUCUCUUCUCUUCUCUUCUCCUCUCCCCUCCCCUCCCCUCCCCUCCCCUCCCCUCCCCUCCCCUCUCUCUCUCUCCCUCCCUCCCCCUCCCCCCCCCCUCUUUUUGAGACAGGGUUUCUCUGUGUAGUCCUACCUGACUAUCCUGGAACUAGCUCUGUAGAUCAGGCUAGCUCAGAAGUCAGAGGUUUUCCUGCUCCUGCCUCCUGUGCACCACCACACCCUGCUGGGGCUACCUCUUGAUGUAUAUAAAGGAAAACGGGAUGUGACAUGCCUUUGUCCUGAGGUGUGUAUGUGGACUAGACAGAGUGCUUUCAUCUGAGAGAUAUCAGCGGAUGUUUAAUACAAAACGUCAUCACUUUUGACGCUCUAGCUGCUCUAUUAUUUCAUGCUCAGGACACCUUAAAUUGUUUUGUGUGGGAGGAGGUUGUUUUGAUUUUUGAGACAGAGGCUUGCUGUGUAGCUCAGGCUGGUCUGGAACUUGUAGCAAUGCUCCUGCCUCAGCUUCCUCAGUGCUGGUGAUUCAGAUGUAAACCACUGUGCCCAGUGCUAAUACCUACUGUAGGUAUUAUUAGUUAUUUAAACAACCAAGAUACAACUUACUGCAAGGCAAGUGGCAGGCUUGGGCUUGACUCCAGACACACUGUGUGCUACUUCCACGCUACCAAUCUGUUCUCCUACUGUGUGCCAAGCAAGACUGUAUGUUAGAUGGCCUGGAAAAGAACCUCUGUUCAUUCACAAAUGUCACCCUCUUUCUUAGUGGCAGUUCCUGUACCUUGAGAACCUCUGAGCCAGGGUACCCUGCCAGGUUGCUGUGGCUACAGACAGGGAUUGACUUUAGUUGGCCAUCUGCUCUGCUGGUUGCCAGAUGCUGUGGCUCUCAGCCACUGCAUGGGCAUCUCUGCUAUUUCCAUCAAGCUUCUCCAGCCCAGAACUGGGUGGACUCAAAGCCUGCGCUCUCCGUCAUGACAGAAGCAUGGCUUCCUGAGUCUCCCUCCCUCCUGUGUGACUAUGUCUCUGAAAUCCCUUUGUGCUUAGAAGGACUGGUAGCAUUGUUGUGAGCAGUUCAUUAGUACCAUGUGCUUGUUCCUUAAACCAAACAUGCUGUGUAAGGCUCUUAGUUAACACUAACAAGAGGGACUUAAAAAGUCCCGGAAUUGUCUGUGGCACAUAAACUAUGACCAUGUAAAUGGGCUGUCCUGAGUGAGGCAGCACACACAGCGAGCGCAUCAGGGUUCUUUGGACUUGAGGCUCCAGCUCCUUCAGAGGCCUGAUGUGACUGCUAAGAUCCUGGCUGCCCUGUCUCAGGGUGUUUGCUGAACUUUCUCCAGGAGAUACAACAGAUAGGGGCCAUCGGUCUUCUGCCUCUUCUCCUCUGACAGUUCUCUGGCCAUCAUUCUUUCUGUUCUUCAUGGUUGGAAGUGGCAGAAGCAGGGAGGUAUAGCUACACCAAUGGCUAGAAUAGACUGGGAAAGCAGUAAUCAGUCCGAUGGGACAGAAUAUAGGCUGUCUGCCUUAUUAAAAUUACUCUACUUGGGACUGGUAAGAUGGCUCAGAGGGGAAAGGCACUUGCUGCGAAGCCUGCUGACAAGCUCUGGGUUGUCUCUCUGUUCCCACCCUGGAAGGGAGCUGAGGUGCCUGCACACCAAUUUCUGUAAUGGACAGUUGCUCACAGUAGUGGGCCUGGGAAGAAAGCUUUGGCCAGGCUUCUGGUGAUGGUAGCAAGCAGGGUAUACUGAGGUGCUAGUGUUGGCAUUUAGUCUAGGCUCCGCCCCACAGUUACCUGGCAACAGCCAGGUGUACCUGACUCACUAUAAAAGGGGCUGCUUGCCCCCUCCUCUCUUUCUUGCUCUGCUUGCUCUCCUGCCCUUUUUCCU